This 36-nucleotide ribosomal RNA is filed under the name Gyrodactylus bliccensis. RNAcentral describes it as "partial 5.8S ribosomal RNA". The record is from RNAcentral. Lineage: Eukaryota; Metazoa; Platyhelminthes; Monogenea; Gyrodactylidea; Gyrodactylidae.
GGCUUGCUCUUAGCCACGUUCGAUCGAGUGUCGGCU